RNAcentral lists this long non-coding RNA (1176 nucleotides) under Onthophagus taurus. RNAcentral's name for it is "uncharacterized LOC111420117, transcript variant X1". Lineage: Eukaryota; Metazoa; Arthropoda; Insecta; Coleoptera; Scarabaeidae. The record is from RNAcentral.
GAGUUCAGGCUCAAAAAGGAAACUUUAUUUUACAGAUUUCUGUUUUUAAAUUCGUUAACUGAGAGAGAGCGUAACGUCAAUAAAGACAGAUGUCAAACUAUUAUGUUUACGUUAAGAAACUACCUAAUAAAGAUUGCAAAGAUUUAAGUCUGUCGAUAACAAUAGAUAGAUUCUCAAUCAAACCGAAAAUAAUAGUGUUUUCGUGCAAUUUUAAUUCUUCAAGUGAGUAAAAUUCCCACUUAUCUGAUAAAUAAGUUUUAGGUUAUGUGUAACUCACCCUCUUAGGAAUGGAAAAUGGACAGGAAUCCGGAGAACUUCGGUUCAGAUAAAUAUUCUACACUCGGAUAUUGUUUGGAUCUGAUAUGUGGUAACUGUCCUUGGAAAAAUUUCAGGAACACAGGUUAAUAAAAUCUUAAUUCGGUUGGAUUAGAAAAAACUUUUGAAUCAAUUUAAGCCAUCCCCAUUGGAGGUUUCAAGAUUUUCCAACUACAAAAGAAGUUUGAAAUUCACAAAUUUGAAAUGCAAUUUCCAAAGUCAAAAUUGUUCAAAAUCUUCUGGAAUAUAAUAAAUUACAUGUAGCUAACAUUGAUCUUUACGUUUUGGAUCGUUUAGAAAGAAUAUUAACAGUUUUAAGAGAAUUAUGAGCAACUAAAGAUUAACUGUCAACUGAAUUGAGGUUAUGUUUCUCUGUCAGGUAAAACCUGUCACGGAAGCUUUAUUACAAUAUAGAUGGGUAAAGUUAAUACCUUAUUCUCGUAUACCAAGAGGCCAAAGGGAAGGAGAGAUUGAGAAGAUGGUUGAAAGAAGAGACUCACCAAAGUACGGACUAUGGCCAAAGAUAGGAAGAAAAAUAUAAAAGAUGGAUCCAAAACCCAACACCGUAGGGUAUAAAUGGGGGCAAGAGAAAGAAGAAGAAGAAGGACACAUCAAAGUGAAAGCAAAAUUAAACGGAAUAAUUGAUAAAGUUAAGGAAGCAUUAUUUAUUAAUAUUUAUAUUGAUAGCGAUGACAUCUGAGAUUUCAGAUGAUAAUAAUUUGAUUUGACAGAUUUAAUGAUAAACUUGUUUAACUGGGCUCAUCGCACAAUGUUAAAUUUAACUCUAAUGUAAUAAUAUUGUUUUGUGUAUUGUUGUGAAACUAUAUUUUAAAAUAAAUUCACUCCAAUCUUAAACCUUAA